UACCAGCACCCCGAGUGGUCGGGACGUUUAUUGGGCCUAAAGCAUCCGUAGCCGGUUCUACAAGUCUUCCGUUAAAUCCGCCUGCUUAACAGAUGGGCUGCGGAAGAUACUAUAGAGCUAGGAGGCGGGAGAGGCAAGCGGUACUCGAUGGGUAGGGGUAAAAUCCGUUGAUCCAUUGAAGACCACCAGUGGCGAAGGCGGCUUGCCAGAACGCGCUCGACGGUGAGGGAUGAAAGCUGGGGGAGCAAACCGG
This 253-nucleotide ribosomal RNA is filed under the name uncultured bacterium. RNAcentral describes it as "partial 16S ribosomal RNA". It matches the Rfam family "Archaeal small subunit ribosomal RNA", at positions 474 to 727 of the family's 1478-position model. The record is from RNAcentral.